Molecule: ribosomal RNA, 228 nt
Filed under: uncultured bacterium
Lineage: Bacteria
Description: partial 16S ribosomal RNA
Rfam family: Bacterial small subunit ribosomal RNA
Source: RNAcentral
CGUGUAGGUGGCCGAUUAAGUCAGGUGUUAAAGCUAGAAGCUCAACUUCUAGUUGCGCCUGAAACUGAUCAGCUUCGAGAGUGGGAGAGGAUAGUGGAACUCAUAGUGUAGCGGUGAAAUGCGUAGAUAUUAUGAGGAACACCAGUGGCGAAGGCGACUAUCUGGACCAUUUCUGACGCUGAGACGCGAAAGCAUGGGGAGCAAACAGGAUUAGAUACCCUGGUAGUC